Molecule: long non-coding RNA, 463 nt
Organism: Sesamum indicum (sesame)
Lineage: Eukaryota; Viridiplantae; Streptophyta; Magnoliopsida; Lamiales; Pedaliaceae
Source: RefSeq, a predicted model, not a curated record
ACAACCUUAGUUGGGGUAGAAAACAUAAAAUAAACACCAAACUCCCUCAAAAAAAGGAAAAAGAAAAGACAUCAUGUGUGAAAAGCAGUGACCAGGUUCAAUGAACCUUAAAAAGGCAGGCUCAUGUCCUUGCCUAUUAUUACUAUGCACCAACACCUUCAACAAAGCCUCAUAUUCCAAGCUGCUGUCUGUCUGAAUUCCCUUUCUGUCUAAUGAGGAGAAGAGAAGAUUAAAAUAAGAGGAUCUGGCGCCAUGGCUACUGGCGAUGAACCUGUUGAAGAAGAAAAUGGUGCCACGUCAGCAGAAGCCUACGUUUCGGAGAAAUAAUGAGAUACAUAUAUAUAUAUAUAUAUUAUUUUGAUGUCAAAUUGACAUAAUAUCUAUAUAUGUAUUGUUGAGUUCCCCUGCAAAACUUCACUUUGAUUACUAUAUAUUAUUAUUUAUUAUCGUUUAUUAUGUUGUA